CGAAAGCCUGACGGAGCAAGACCGCGUGGGGGAAGAAGGCUCUUGGGUUGUAAACCCCUUUUCUCUGGGAAGAACGCAAUGACGGUACCAGAGGAAUCAGCAUCGGCUAACUCCGUGCCAGCAGCCGCGGUAAGACGGAGGAUGCAAGCGUUAUCCGGAAUGAUUGGGCGUAAAGCGUCCGCAGGUGGCAGUUCAAGUCUGCUGUCAAAGACCGGGGCUCAACCUCGGAAAGGCAGUGGAAACUGAACAGCUAGAGUAUGGUAGGGGCAAAGGGAAUUCCUGGUGUAGCGGUGAAAUGCGUAGAGAUCAGGAAGAACAUCGGUGGCGAAGGCGCUUUGCUGGACCAUAACUGACACUCAGGGACGAAAGCUAGGGGAGCG
RNAcentral lists this ribosomal RNA (380 nucleotides) under Lyngbya sp. CCAP 1446/10. RNAcentral's name for it is "bacterial SSU rRNA". It matches the Rfam family "Bacterial small subunit ribosomal RNA", at positions 376 to 770 of the family's 1533-position model. The record is from RNAcentral. Lineage: Bacteria; Bacillati; Cyanobacteriota; Cyanophyceae; Oscillatoriales; Microcoleaceae.